CGAACGCUGGCGGCAGGCUUAACACAUGCAAGUCGAGCGGGCAUAGCAAUAUGUCAGCGGCAGACGGGUGAGUAACGCGUGGGAACGUACCUUUUGGUUCGGAACAACUGAGGGAAACUUCAGCUAAUACCGGAUAAGCCCUUACGGGGAAAGAUUUAUCGCCGAAAGAUCGGCCCGCGUCUGAUUAGCUAGUUGGUGAGGUAAUGGCUCACCAAGGCGACGAUCAGUAGCUGGUCUGAGAGGAUGAUCAGCCACAUUGGGACUGAGACACGGCCCAAACUCCUACGGGAGGCAGCAGUGGGGAAUAUUGGACAAUGGGCGCAAGCCUGAUCCAGCCAUGCCGCGUGAGUGAUGAAGGCCCUAGGGUUGUAAAGCUCUUUUGUGCGGGAAGAUAAUGACGGUACCGCAAGAAUAAGCCCCGGCUAACUUCGUG
This 433-nucleotide ribosomal RNA is filed under the name uncultured bacterium. Its description in RNAcentral is "partial 16S ribosomal RNA". It matches the Rfam family "Bacterial small subunit ribosomal RNA", at positions 30 to 507 of the family's 1533-position model. The record is from RNAcentral.